Molecule: ribosomal RNA, 245 nt
Filed under: uncultured bacterium
Lineage: Bacteria
Description: partial 16S ribosomal RNA
Rfam family: Bacterial small subunit ribosomal RNA
Source: RNAcentral
AGAAGCGAGGCUGUGAAGCGGAGCAAAUCUCAAAAACCGGUCCCAGUUCGGAUUGUAGGCUGCAACUCGCCUACAUGAAGUCGGAGUUGCUAGUAGUCGCGGAUCAGAAUGCCGCGGUGAAUGCGUUCCCGGGUCUUGUACACACCGCCCGUCACACCAUGGAAGUUGGGGCGCCCGAAGUUGCCUAAGAAAUAAGGUACCUAAGGCGAAACCAAUGACGUGGGGUGAAGUCGUAACAAGGUAAC